Molecule: ribosomal RNA, 253 nt
Filed under: uncultured bacterium
Lineage: Bacteria
Description: partial 16S ribosomal RNA
Rfam family: Bacterial small subunit ribosomal RNA
Source: RNAcentral
UACAGAGGUCUCAAGCGUUGUUCGGAUUCAUUGGGCGUAAAGGGUGCGUAGGCGGCUUUGCAAGUCGGGUGUGAAAUCCCCAGGCUCAACCUGGGAACUGCAUUCGAGACUGCAUUGCUAGAGUAUGGGAGAGGGAAGUGGAAUUUCCGGUGUAGCGGUGAAAUGCGUAGAUAUCGGAAGGAACAUCAGUGGCGAAAGCGACUUCCUGGACCAAUACUGACGCUCAUGUGCGAAAGCGUGGGGAGCAAACAGG